This 7072-nucleotide long non-coding RNA is filed under the name Xyrichtys novacula (pearly razorfish). Lineage: Eukaryota; Metazoa; Chordata; Actinopteri; Labriformes; Labridae. The record is from RNAcentral.
CACACACACACACACUCACACCCAUCUAUUACAGGAGGGGAAAUGGACCGGGACAGUUUCCAUCCGACUUACACCUGACCUUUGACCCUACAGCUGUGUGUAUGUGAGCAAGUGUGAGUGCAUGUGUGUGUGUGUGUGUGUGUGUGUUUAUUGGUGAGAAAUCCCUCCAGCUGGAGAGCUCACACCCGGCACACAUGGAGUACAUUUACACACACACACACACACACACACACACACACACACACACACACACACACAGAUGGAUGACAUUUACACACAGUGUAACUGAUAUUGUAAAUACCUUGAUCAUAUUACCGUUAUAUAACAGGAUAUGUUCACACACACACACACACACACACACACACACACACACACACACACACACACACACCCUGAGGUCAGUGACUUUAAAACCUCUCUCUCUCUCUCUCUCUCUCUCUCUCUCUCUCUCUCUCUCUGUAUGUUCUUUAUAUAAACGUGUUUCAGAAGAAGAAGAGGGCGGAUCUCCUCCUUGGUGGGCGGAGUCCAGGUGAACGACUCUAACCAGGUAACAUCAGCUGACGUCACUGCAGUGAACCGUUCAGGAGCCCUGUCCGUCUUUUUGUUUGUUUUUGGUUUAAAGGAAAAUAAAACUUUUAAAAAACUCCAAAAGUUACUGAAGGUUUUAUUAUUUAAACAGAUAAACUCACUUUAGGACACUGCCUCUAGUGGACAGUUGGGGGACUGCAGUUUUAAGGGGUGUCAUGACGCUUGGUGGUGUCAUUCGCCCAUCAUGGAGGUUAAUUAUUGACACACACACACACACACACGGUUUAAAGUAUUUUUUGACUCUGUUAUUUUUAGUGAAAACUUGACGAUAGAAUCUGAAGUCCGAACUUUCGUCGUUUUUUAUGAAACUGUAUUUCGUUGUUUGAUCGUUUUAACACACCGUGACUCUCUUGACAUGACUGAACACACACUUUGUGAACUUCUCCCCACAGAUGAACACACUCGCUCUCCUGAAGUGUCGGACAAUAAGCCCUCAGUGUGGUCUGACAGGCUGGUCAGGCUGAUAAAACACAGGACACUCUGUGAUGAGACUCACAGCUGUUGGAUGUUAAAUAUUACAGCCUCUAUUGUCUUCAGACAUCAUCACCGCCCGCCUCACGGCGAACACUGUGUGCUCCAAUCAGAUUAUUAAACACAACCAUUCCUGCCUGACGCUCCUCAGAGACAAACGUCCGUAAAAUUGUCAUUAAAAUGAGAAAAAUCCUGAAGAAGCUUUCAGGAAAACUGAAUCACUGAGAACCAGAGAGAGUUUUUCAGGAGAAGUUCCUCAGGAUGACUUUUAUUCAGAGUCUGAAAAGUUCUCCUACAUCUAAGUGUUGACCGCUCCUCAUCAUAAGAGCUCUGCUGCCAAUUAAUGAGGAAAUCUGAGAUCCAAAAACACACUGUGGACGCAGAUGUUGCUCCUAAAUCUGGAGAUAUUGUCUAAAACUGAGGAUGCAGCAUCUAGGAUUUCCAGUUCUUUGUUGAAAGGACAGUUGGACUUACUCCAACUGUCCUUUCAACAAAGAGAGUCUAACAUCCUGAUCGUCUCCUAAAAGGUCGUAUCCUCCGAUCGUAGCUGAUCGUAACCAUUCAAGUUAACGUGUCAAUUUACACCGACUUCUUUCCGUUCCUCUGCGGAUCGCCGGACUCCUCAGCUGAUCAUAAGAGUUCUAUUUUUUCUGGACGCCGGAGCAUGGCGGAUAAAUUCAGCACAGAUGAACCCGUGCUGGAAAGGAAGUCGGGCACAGACACAAAAUAAAACAUCCGGCUUCUUUUCAAAAUAAAACAUCCGGCUUCUUUUCAAAAUAAAACACUCCGUGUUUCAGGAGGAUCGUAUUUCACACCAUGCAAACGGGCGGAGACGAACAAGGGAAAAGUUUUUAGACGUCAUUUCACCCCGAUGACACCAUGGAUGAGGAGAUGCUGAUUCUAGAAGUCUAGAAGUAGAUUUCCUCCUCUGGAAGGACACAAUCUACUGCUUAUAUGUCUAUGUGUCUGUCUUUACAGAGACGACUCGGUAUCGUGAGAUUGAACGUGAAUCUGCGGGUUCUUGUGAGUUCUCCUGAUUCCUGCUGUCUGUAAUCCACCACAACAUGGCGGACGGCAAAAAUCGCCAUCCUUUCGGGAUCGGAGCCGUUCCAGAUUUGGUGAAAAUUGGGGGUAAGGUCUUCUAUAAUCUGUGUAACUCAGUCAGAACAGGUCUGGAUCCUUCUUCUCCUCAGGUUCACCUCCUCGGUGUCGACUCUCCUGCUGAUGAAGAUCCCGUCUCUUCAUGGUUUUGUUUGUAGGUUCUGUCCGCUGCAGUCGUGUCUAAACAGUAAAGAAAUCGGAUCACGCCGGAUACAGACACACUGACAGACUGAGCGAUCAUGUCCUACAGGUUAAUUCUCCUGAAUCCAGAUCUGCUGAUGAGUUCACAGUUUGAUAUUUCAGUUGAUGAUCUUGUCAAUAAAAACGUUCAGAACUCUGAAACCUCCUCAUCUGCUCGGAGCUCUUUGACUGACAGCUGACUCUCUCUCACUCCGAGUAAAAUGUCGACCUCCUUUUCUUGGACUCACAACAAAGACGUUAGGGUUAUUUUUUUAAAGUUGAGGGUAUUAAUGAAAGCAAUAAAACUUUAUUUAUACAGCAGUUUUCUGACAGCAGGAGCAGCUCAGAGUGAUUUACAACAAAGAAGGAGGAGAGCGAAUCAAAGAGGAGAAAACGUCUGCAGGAAAUGAAUGUAAAUACCCCAAAUGUGACUUUAGUUAACCUGUGUGUGUGUGUGUGUGUGUGUGUGUGUGUGUGUUGAAAGCAGAUCUGGAUUUUAUUUGUCUGUCUCCUGCUUCUUAUUGUCCCUCCGAGUGUGAAAUGAUUUUCCUGAUUUCCUCUCGGCGGCGUCGGCUCGUCAUCCUGCCCGACGUCUGCAGGACAGACUCUGACCUCCUGACCUUUGACCUCCCAGCACUUACACUGGUGAACUUCAGGAGGACAUGUUCGGUAAAACUUCGGUUUACUCCCUUCGAAUAAAAACGACCACAUUUAGAAACCGACGCCGAUCUGUCACCAAAGCGUCUCUGCCGGCUGCCCGGGGCCCGUCGUGCCCUCGGUGUGGUCUGACAGGCUUGUCAGGCUGAUAAAACACAGGACACUCUCUGAUUGGAUCCAGCUGUUCGAUCCAAAGAUGACAGCCUCUUUUGUCUUCUGUUCAAACUGUCUAUUGUGUCGACCGUCCCCCGAGCUCCGGGUUCACUCGCUCUCAAACUUUAGGUUUGAUUCUCUUUAGUUCAUCGUUCUCAGAGUCAAAGUGAACCCGCUGACUUUUCUCUUUUAUUAUAUUACAGUAUAGAACGCCGCUCUGAUCCGAUUGGAGCGGGGAAUCCCCCCCGGAGGAGGAGCUGGUGGAAGUGUCUGGGGUGAGGGUCAUCUGGGCUUCCCUCCUGAAGCUGCUGCCCCCGCGACCCGGACCAAGAUGAAGCGGAAGAAAAUGACGGCGAAGAAACGACGGCGACGACAUUAAAGAACAUAAACGAAUCAGUAUGUCACUAAAUAAACUUCUACAGUCUAACUCUUCAUUUUUAAAAUGCGAUCAAUCACAUUAUCGUUCAUAGUUAAGUCGUGUUUAAUCGAACAUCGGCUGUAAGUGUAACUUAAAGGUGUAUUUUUCACGUAUUUGACCCUCUUUAAAAAUGGGAGUCAAAGAGUAAGACAAAAAAACACAGAGUUUAAAUCAUCCCAGAUUCCAAAGUUUUCACUGAAAUACUCGCCGUGUCGUCCAGAUGAAACACGAUUAUUCAGCGUCGUCUGUCUGGAACUAAAAGACGUUGUUUCUGUUGAAGCUAAGCUAGUUUUUUUUUUCCCCUUUAGCUGUUUGUGUUUGAGCUAAGCUAGGCUAACCAUGUCAGAGCUUACAGAGCAGACUUCGCCGUCACAGUUAAAACGCACCAUGUGUAAUGAAACUGCACGGCUCCCAUGAGCCUUUGCAUCAGGAAGCAGCGUCUGGAUGAGCUUCAGCUGUUUGUGUGUGUGUGUGUGUGUGUGUGUGUGUGCACGCCAUAUAUUGGAGUGUUUGGAUGAGUGUGUGUGUUGUCUGAAGUGCUGCCACUGGCGGACGGGUGUGUUCUGUUUACAAUGCACCAUGGGAAAUUAGGGGCGUGAUGCUAUCUGGGAUGACUCUGUGUGUGUGUGUGUGUGUGUGUGUGUGUGUGUGUGUGUGUGUGUGUGUGUGUGUGUGUGUGUGUGUGUGUGUGUGUGUGUGUCUCAGCAGCUGUGUGUGGACAGUAGAGAAAUGUCAGGGUGCGGGUGUGGACGGAUGAGAGAAUCCUCCAUGUUUUCUUCUUCUCUCUGUUUGUUCUCGUCUCUCACUCACCACCUUGUUUUUCAGUUCCUCAGAUUUGGAUCAACAUCGUCUUCACAAAUAUUCAACUUUUAACCGAAUCUCUGAAUUCUGAGGAUAAAUUUGAAGUUGUUGUAUCUUUACUGCAGUUUAACAGCUGAUUACUAACAGAGUUUGUCCUGAAAAAUUAAAAUAGCAUCAAUGAUUUCAGGAUAAAGUCACGGUCGACGAUCUGAGCUUCAGUUAAAAAAAAAAACUGAGCUGUUGAGGCAGAUUUGAAAAAGUGUCCAACCUUCCGACAGAAGAUCCUACGCUAGCUUCAAACAGGAUCCACCAUGUUGGAUUGUUAGUGACUAGCGGCAGUAAACGCCAGCUGUGCUAGCGAGCGCCAUCUGCAGCUGCCUGGACAGCUACCAUGUCGACAUCGCAGAGACCCGAUGUUUAUCCAAGUUAGAUUCCUCGCUUGGUCACAUUUCCUCUUUGACGCCGCCCUUUUGCGUUUUCCUCCUACUUUUGGCGGUGUGGCGAGCAGAAGUGUUUGUUUUUUGCGUCCUUCUCCAUCACAGCUCCUGUAGCUAAGCUGCUACUUUUAGCCGCUCAGAGCCCCGAGGAGGGCCGGGAGAGUGGGAGGGGACGAGUCUGAACUACGGGAGAGGGGUGUGUCGAAUACAACGAGGGGAUUGGAGCAGGAGAUUGACCAAUAGGAGCUGUCCAGGACGGAUGGCUCCCAUUGGUCAAUGCACCUGAUAGGGUGAACUGAUUUUUUCCGAUCUUUUUUCUCUUCACUUUGUGGAGAUCGCACUAUAGGACCAUGAUCGCCAUGGAAACGAGGUUCAAAAGUCUAAUAGUUUGACUUUAAAUAAAAGUUUAAAACUAAACAGACUGAGUUCAAAAUAACUCUUCAGUUUACAGACAAAAGUGUUUUUUUAGGUCUAUGACAGUCGGCCCUGAGUGAACUAUCACCUCGACUGUUAAUAUAAGAAGUCCAAACAUCUGCAGUUCCUCCAGUGUCCACUAGAGGCUGUCUCCCAAAGUGAGCCAAUCCCCAUAGAGCUCCAUGUAAAAAUGUCCAAUCAUAAAUAAACAUGUUUACAGACUGGAACAAAAACACUUCAGGUCUCUAAACUUCAUUUGAAAAACUACAGACUGAAUUUAUACUAAAGUUAUAAAUGAAUCUGAUAAAACCAGAUCCUUAGAGAGACCCUCACAGUCUGCUGCAAACAUCGUUUUCUGGAUACAGCAGCAGGUUAUUUCAGUUUUCUGCAGUGAAUUCUGGUCUUUUCUAAACUCCUGCAGCUGAUGAAAUGAUGUAAACGUUUGCAUGUUGACGAUGAUAAAAAUAAAUCAAAAGAUCCAAACUUUGGCGUUUCAUCCUCAGACGGUGAAAACAUGUUCGGUGCAUCAGAUCAUCUCUGCACUCGGGUUUGUUAAUACGAGUGAAUCAUUGGCUCUGUUUGUUCUGUGUUAAUGCACGUUACAAAACACAGAUGUGGAGGGUGAAAUCGAGGAUCACAUGAGGUCAGCAGAGAGCAGACGGAGGAGCAGGGCGGUCAGAUGUUUUCUUCGACAUGAUGUUUUCCUCUGGAAACGAGGAGGGAAUCCCCCAAACGGCCCAAAUGAAACAUGUCUGCCAAAUAAAGGAAAAAUCUGUUACUGUUUGUGAAUGAAUCAAAGAGAGGAACAAACUCCCUCGGUCUGAAAGUUUUCCUCCGCUACAGCUGCUGUAAUAACCUCCAUCAGCGACUGAAAUCAAUCAAAGAAACACUCCAAUCAUCAAAUCUCUCCGUUUGUUUUCUCUCAAUCAAACCUGCUCCACAAUCAUUUUGUGAUGGUCAAUUUAAAGUCAUGAAGAGAGAAAAUGCACCAGAUUUUAACGCACUGAAACCGCCAACACACGCUGAAGACCACCGCAGGACCAGGAGAGUCUGCAGAAGGGUUUUCAGAUCAUAGACGGAACAAUCAAAAGGUCUGAACGAUCAAUAACAGACUUUUAUUUUGGAAAUCCUGGACUCUGCAUCCUCCUCUCUAACGGUUCUCAACUGGUCUCACUCUGGGACCCACAAUUUCCCAUGAUCCUUCAGUCACGACCCAUUUUUAUAGAAUUCAAACCAAGAACAUUUAUUUUUUAUUUAUAAGAAAAACCUUUAAAGACUCAAAUCGAGUGUUUGUGACGUUCAUGAACGAUUCGUUCAAAAGAACUGAACUGCUGAGUGAACGACAUGAACUGAAUCACUCACGCUGUGUCACUCACUGGUGUUCUGCACCGACAGGGCGGGGCUCUGAAGAACUGACCGAUUCAGUGAACGAAUCUUUUGAACGAAUCCUUUUAAUGAACCGAUUCUAAAGAUUCAGUCAAAAGAACUGAUCUUCCAUCUCUACUCAAAUCUUUAACACAAAUACACUAUUGAGUAAAUGCUGAACAAUAUCUACUCUGGAGUGGAAAUCACCGCAUGGAAAGGACACCUGGACUUAUGGAGACGAAACGUCUCCAUAAGUCCAGUUGUCCUUUCAACGUAGAACUGGAAUUUAUAGAUGCUGCAUCCUCAGGAUAUUUGUCUGUAACAGUCUUAUGUUUUCUGUUUUUUAUCAUAGAACUCUACAUGAUUGACGUCUCUGACAGCCAAUGAGAGCGCAGCUUGCUGAUGCUAAAGGUGUUGAACAGGUGAGGAAAGAGCGUCCCCCCAUGACCAGAAAAACACUCACCACCCACCCACCCACACGAACACA